GCAAGGGGCAAUUUCGUCAUUUUUCUCGACAGUGUCGGAAUGGGCUCAAAUUUGACAGGUUGAUCGGAAACAAAAAUUGCGCCGGAGCAAUUUCGGCAUUUUUAGCGACUGUGUCGGAAUUGGCUAAAAUUUGACAGGUUGAUCAGAGACAAAAAUCGCGCCGGGGGCAAUUUCGUCAUUUUUCUCGACUGUGUCGGAAUUGG
This 203-nucleotide long non-coding RNA is filed under the name Olea europaea (common olive). RNAcentral's name for it is "long non-coding RNA (OEUR_LNC009724)". Lineage: Eukaryota; Viridiplantae; Streptophyta; Magnoliopsida; Lamiales; Oleaceae. The record is from RNAcentral.